GAUGAACGCUAGCUACAGGCCUAACACAUGCAAGUCGAGGGAACGGCAGCUUAGCUUGCUAAGCUGGACGUCGACCGGCGCACGGGUGAGUAACGCGUAUCCAACCUGCCCAUCACUUGGGAAUAACCUUGCGAAAGUAAGACUAAUGCCCAAUGACAUUUAUAGAAGGCAUCUGAAAUGAAUUAAAGAUUUAUCGGCAAAGGAUGGGCCUGCGUCUGAUUAGCUGGUUGGUGGGGUAACGGCCUACCAAGGCGACGAUCAGUAGCCGACCUGAGAGGGUGAUCGGCCACAUUGGAACUGAGACACGGUCCAAACUCCUACGGGAGGCAGCAGUGGGGAAUAUUGCACAAUGGGCGAAAGCCUGAUGCAGCAACGCCGCGUGAAGGAAGAAGGUCUUCGGAUCGUAAACUUCUGUCCUUGGGGAAGAUAAUGACGGUACCCUUGGAGGAAGCCCCGGCUAACUACGUG
This 468-nucleotide ribosomal RNA is filed under the name uncultured bacterium. RNAcentral's name for it is "bacterial SSU rRNA". It matches the Rfam family "Bacterial small subunit ribosomal RNA", at positions 28 to 507 of the family's 1533-position model. The record is from RNAcentral.